UACGUAGGUGGCAAGCGUUGUCCGGAUUUACUGGGCGUAAAGAGCGCGCAGGCGGCUGGUCAAGUCCGAUGUGAAAUCUCCCGGCUCAACUGGGAAACUGCAUCGGAAACUGAUCGGCUUGAAGGUGGGAGAGGGUAGUGGAAUUCCCGGUGUAGUGGUGAAAUGCGUAGAUAUCAGGAGGAACACCUGCGGUGUAGACGGCUUACUGGACCGUAACUGACGCUGAGGCACGAAAGCGUGGGUAGCAAACAGG
This 253-nucleotide ribosomal RNA is filed under the name uncultured bacterium. Its description in RNAcentral is "partial 16S ribosomal RNA". It matches the Rfam family "Bacterial small subunit ribosomal RNA", at positions 524 to 776 of the family's 1533-position model. The record is from RNAcentral.